RNAcentral lists this ribosomal RNA (208 nucleotides) under uncultured bacterium. RNAcentral describes it as "partial 16S ribosomal RNA". It matches the Rfam family "Bacterial small subunit ribosomal RNA", at positions 568 to 774 of the family's 1533-position model. The record is from RNAcentral.
CAUGUAGGCGGUUCGAUAAGUCCGCUGUUAAAGCCCCCGGCUCAACUGGGGGAGGGUCAGUGGAGACUAUAGGACUUGAGGGCAACAGAGGCACGUGGAACUCCCGGUGUAGCGGUGGAAUGCGUAGAGAUCGGGAAGAACACCAGUGGCGAAGGCGACGUGCUGGGUUGCGACUGACGCUGAGAUGCGAAAGUGUGGGGAGCAAACG